UACGUAGGGGGCAAGCGUUGUCCGGAAUCAUUGGGCGUAAAGCGCGUGUAGGCGGCUCGAUAAGUCUGCUGUGAAAGUCCAGGGCUCAACCCUGGGAUGCCGGUGGAUACUGUCGAGCUCGAGUCCGGAAGAGGCGAGUGGAAUUCCUGGUGUAGCGGUGAAAUGCGCAGAUAUCAGGAGGAAUACCGAUGGCGAAGGCAGGUCUCUGGGCUAUAACUGACGCUCAUGCACGAAAGCGUGGGGAGCAAACAGG
RNAcentral lists this ribosomal RNA (253 nucleotides) under uncultured bacterium. Its description in RNAcentral is "partial 16S ribosomal RNA". It matches the Rfam family "Bacterial small subunit ribosomal RNA", at positions 524 to 776 of the family's 1533-position model. The record is from RNAcentral.